This 787-nucleotide long non-coding RNA is filed under the name Brachypodium distachyon (stiff brome). Its description in RNAcentral is "long non-coding RNA (BDIS_LNC005735)". Lineage: Eukaryota; Viridiplantae; Streptophyta; Magnoliopsida; Poales; Poaceae. The record is from RNAcentral.
UGUCCUUCGUGCGUUCCCAAGGAUGAUAACAAUGACAGUCACGUCAUCAUGGUACUUUCUCCUGCUCCCAACAGGUAUCCUCAUCAACUGUUCAGCUGUCAAAGCUGGCAAGGCAUAGGCAUAGGAAGAAAGUAGGAAACAGUUAAUCUUAAUGCACAUUGCUUGGUUAGUUGGUUCAAGAAGGAUUGGCAAAGAUAUGCUAGUUACAAAAGAACUGUGUUCACAAAUGUUCCUCAUUUUUAUUUUUCCGAAUCGGAGCUACUCCCCAAUUUCCAUUCAGAAGAGAACGUAAACAACAAAGUCUGAUACAAUAGAAGGGGGCGGGGGUAAGUAGCGGAACCGAUAGGGCUUGUAGGAAACCCACUGUGACUGAGCCAUCUCGGCCCAGCCACUAUAAGACAAAAACCUACAGCCAAACUAUCCUACAAGAGUACGGUAAUGGUAGACUUUAUAACACCCAGUCUUUGUUCAAUUGAUCAUUAUAAGAUUUAAGUGUUGGUGGUUUAGGAGACAAGGUAGCAAGAGACACAGAUUCAAUAAGGCGGUCAUACUAUCUUUUUAAUAUUUUUAGUAGGCAUGGAAGUCUAGAUCAUAAAAAACAAGGGGACUAGUAAGAUAUGUUAGGUUUCCUCUUGGUAUCAUACAGCUUACUCGCUUAACAGGAAUUAAUGGUACUUCUAUUCCGAUUUUAACUUGAAAAUACAUUUCUACAUUUGGUUUGCACAUUACAGCAUACAGGCCAAACUUGUGUUAGAAUCUUAGCAACAACUAUUUUAUAUGAAUCGAU